GUUUUUUUGGGUUGAAAUGACGUGGAAACAACGUUGAUUCAACCAGUUUUUUUUUUUUUGCCCAGUAGGAUUAUGACAGAAUUCAGCCAUUCUUUUUUUAAACUCAGGAGAAGGGCUGGUCUGGAUUGACAUCAGAAGUAAACAAUGAGUGUAUUGUUGUGUCAUCAUCUGGAUGUAACCGGUGUGUAAAAAUAUAUUGCCAAGUAUCCUGGAAGUGAAUUAUAAAUACAAACAGAACAAACUGUCUGUGUGAUGCCUCUUCAUUGACAUUGUAUUAUGUUGGUUGGCAUGGCACCCACAACAAUGCCUUUUUGUACACUUUCAGGGAGGUCAGGAAAAUGGCAUCCCUUGAGAGGGCAAAUAUGAGAUGUAUGUUAGGAGAAGUGUAAUAUUAUCAUAAGGCAGGGUUCCCCAACCCCAAGAAGGAGAGGUUAGGAGAAGUAUAAUAUUAUCAUAAGGCAGGGUUCCCCAACCCCAAGAAGGAGAGGUUAGGAGAAGUAUAAUAUUAUCAUAAGGCAGGGUUCCCCAACCCCAAGAAGGAGAGGUUAGGAGAAGUGUAAUAUUAUCAUGAGGCAGGGUUCCCCAACCCCAAGAAGGAGAGGUUAGAAGUGUAAUAUUAUCAUGAGGCAGGGUUCCCCAACCCCAAGAAGGAGAGGUUAGGAGAAGUGUAAUAUUAUCAUGAGGCAGGGUUCCCCAACCCCAAGAAGGACAGGUUAGGAGAAGUGUAAUAUUAUCAUAAGGCAGGG
Long non-coding RNA from Oncorhynchus tshawytscha (Chinook salmon), 746 nucleotides. The record is from Ensembl. Lineage: Eukaryota; Metazoa; Chordata; Actinopteri; Salmoniformes; Salmonidae.